Molecule: ribosomal RNA, 940 nt
Filed under: uncultured bacterium
Lineage: Bacteria
Description: bacterial SSU rRNA
Rfam family: Bacterial small subunit ribosomal RNA
Source: RNAcentral
GAUGAACGCUGGCGGCGUGCCUAACACAUGCAAGUCGAGCGAGAGGAGAUAGCUUGCUAUCGAAUCCAGCGGCGGACGGGUGAGUAACGCGUGGGUAACCUGCCACAUACACACGGAUAACAUACCGAAAGGUAUGCUAAUACGGGAUAAACUUUAACUAAGGCAUCUUAGAUAAAGGAAAGAUUUAUCGGUAUGUGAUGGACCCGCGUCGCAUUAGCUAGUUGGUAAGGUAAUGGCUUACCAAGGCGACGAUGCGUAGCCGACCUGAGAGGGUGAUCGGCCACACUGGAACUGAGACACGGUCCAGACUCCUACGGGAGGCAGCAGUGGGGAAUAUUGCACAAUGGGCGCAAGCCUGAUGCAGCAACGCCGCGUGAGCGAUGAAGGCCUUCGGGUCGUAAAGCUCUGUCCUAAGGGAAGAAUAAAUGACGGUACCUUAGGAGGAAGCCCCGGCUAACUACGUGCCAGCAGCCGCGGUAAUACGUAGGGGGCUAGCGUUAUCCGGAAUUACUGGGCGUAAAGGGUGCGUAGGCGGUCUUUUAAGUCAGAAGUGAAAGGCUACGGCUCAACCGUAGUAAGCUUUUGAAACUGGAAGACUUGAGUGCAGGAGAGGAGAGUAGAAUUCCUAGUGUAGCGGUGAAAUGCGUAGAUAUUAGGAGGAAUACCAGUUGCGAAGGCGGCUCUCUGGACUGUAACUGACGCUGAGGCACGAAAGCGUGGGGAGCGAACAGGAUUAGAUACCCUGGUAGUCCACGCCGUAAACGAUGAGUACUAGGUGUCGGGGGUUACCCCCCUCGGUGCCGCAGCUAACGCAUUUAAGUACUCCGCCUGGGAAGUACGCUCGCAAGAGUGAAACUCAAAGGGAAUUGACGGGGACCCGCACAAGCAGCGGAGCAUGUGGGUUAAUUCGAAGCAACGCGAAGGACCUUAACCUAAACUU